UAAAACGUAGGAGGCGAGCGUUAUCCGGAGUUACUGGGCGUAAAGCGCGUGCAGGCGGCAGGACAAGUGGCGGGUGAAAGCGCCCGGCUCAACCGGGCGAGUGCCGGUCAGACUGUUCUGCUGGAGUACCGGUGAGGGACGUGGAAUUCCGGGUGUAGCGGUGAAAUGUGCAGAGAUCCGGAGGAACACCAGCGGCGCAAGCGGCGUCCUAGACGGAAACUGACGCUGAAACGCGACAGCGUGGGGAGCGAACGGGAUUAGAGACCCCGGUAGUCCACGCCGUAAACGAUGCCAACUCGAUGUCGGGGCUGCGAAAGCAGUUUCGGUGUCUUAGUUCACGCGAUAAGUUGGCCGCCUGGGGAGUACGGUCGCAAGGCUA
This 379-nucleotide ribosomal RNA is filed under the name uncultured bacterium. RNAcentral's name for it is "bacterial SSU rRNA". It matches the Rfam family "Bacterial small subunit ribosomal RNA", at positions 521 to 896 of the family's 1533-position model. The record is from RNAcentral.